UUAAGCGACUAAGCGUACACGGUGGAUGCCCUGGCAGUCAGAGGCGAUGAAGGACGUGCUAAUCUGCGAUAAGCGUCGGUGAGGUGAUAUGAACCGUUAUAACCGGCGAUUUCCGAAUGGGGAAACCCAGUGUGUUUCGACACACUAUCAUUAACUGAAUCCAUAGGUUAAUGAGGCGAACCGGGGGAACUGAAACAUCUAAGUACCCCGAGGAAAAGAAAUCAACCGAGAUUCCCCCAGUAGCGGCGAGCGAACGGGGAGGAGCCCAGAGCCUGAAUCAGUGUGUGUGUUAGUGGAAGCGUCUGGAAAGGCGCGCGAUACAGGGUGACAGCCCCGUACACAAAAAUGCACAUGCUGUGAGCUCGAUGAGUAGGGCGGGACACGUGGUAUCCUGUCUGAAUAUGGGGGGACCAUCCUCCAAGGCUAAAUACUCCUGACUGACCGAUAGUGAACCAGUACCGUGAGGGAAAGGCGAAAAGAACCCCGGCGAGGGGAGUGAAAAAGAACCUGAAACCGUGUACGUACAAGCAGUGGGAGCCUCUUAAUGGGGUGACUGCGUACCUUUUGUAUAAUGGGUCAGCGACUUAUAUUCUGUAGCAAGGUUAACCGAAUAGGGGAGCCGAAGGGAAACCGAGUCUUAACUGGGCGUUAAGUUGCAGGGUAUAGACCCGAAACCCGGUGAUCUAGCCAUGGGCAGGUUGAAGGUUGGGUAACACUAACUGGAGGACCGAACCGACUAAUGUUGAAAAAUUAGCGGAUGACUUGUGGCUGGGGGUGAAAGGCCAAUCAAACCGGGAGAUAGCUGGUUCUCCCCGAAAGCUAUUUAGGUAGCGCCUCGUGAAUUCAUCUCCGGGGGUAGAGCACUGUUUCGGCAAGGGGGUCAUCCCGACUUACCAACCCGAUGCAAACUGCGAAUACCGGAGAAUGUUAUCACGGGAGACACACGGCGGGUGCUAACGUCCGUCGUGAAGAGGGAAACAACCCAGACCGCCAGCUAAGGUCCCAAAGUCAUGGUUAAGUGGGAAACGAUGUGGGAAGGCCCAGACAGCCAGGAUGUUGGCUUAGAAGCAGCCAUCAUUUAAAGAAAGCGUAAUAGCUCACUGGUCGAGUCGGCCUGCGCGGAAGAUGUAACGGGGCUAAACCAUGCACCGAAGCUGCGGCAGCGACACUAUGUGUUGUUGGGUAGGGGAGCGUUCUGUAAGCCUGUGAAGGUGUGCUGUGAGGCAUGCUGGAGGUAUCAGAAGUGCGAAUGCUGACAUAAGUAACGAUAAAGCGGGUGAAAAGCCCGCUCGCCGGAAGACCAAGGGUUCCUGUCCAACGUUAAUCGGGGCAGGGUGAGUCGACCCCUAAGGCGAGGCCGAAAGGCGUAGUCGAUGGGAAACAGGUUAAUAUUCCUGUACUUGGUGUUACUGCGAAGGGGGGACGGAGAAGGCUAUGUUGGCCGGGCGACGGUUGUCCCGGUUUAAGCGUGUAGGCUGGUUUUCCAGGCAAAUCCGGAAAACCAAGGCUGAGGCGUGAUGACGAGGCACUACGGUGCUGAAGCGACAAAUGCCCUGCUUCCAGGAAAAGCCUCUAAGCAUCAGGUAACAUCAAAUCGUACCCCAAACCGACACAGGUGGUCAGGUAGAGAAUACCAAGGCGCUUGAGAGAACUCGGGUGAAGGAACUAGGCAAAAUGGUGCCGUAACUUCGGGAGAAGGCACGCUGAUAUGUAGGUGAAGCGACUUGCUCGUGGAGCUGAAAUCAGUCGAAGAUACCAGCUGGCUGCAACUGUUUAUUAAAAACACAGCACUGUGCAAACACGAAAGUGGACGUAUACGGUGUGACGCCUGCCCGGUGCCGGAAGGUUAAUUGAUGGGGUUAGCGGUAACGCGAAGCUCUUGAUCGAAGCCCCGGUAAACGGCGGCCGUAACUAUAACGGUCCUAAGGUAGCGAAAUUCCUUGUCGGGUAAGUUCCGACCUGCACGAAUGGCGUAAUGAUGGCCAGGCUGUCUCCACCCGAGACUCAGUGAAAUUGAACUCGCUGUGAAGAUGCAGUGUACCCGCGGCAAGACGGAAAGACCCCGUGAACCUUUACUAUAGCUUGACACUGAACAUUGAGCCUUGAUGUGUAGGAUAGGUGGGAGGCUUUGAAGUGUGGACGCCAGUCUGCAUGGAGCCGACCUUGAAAUACCACCCUUUAAUGUUUGAUGUUCUAACGUUGGCCCGUAAUCCGGGUUGCGGACAGUGUCUGGUGGGUAGUUUGACUGGGGCGGUCUCCUCCUAAAGAGUAACGGAGGAGCACGAAGGUUGGCUAAUCCUGGUCGGACAUCAGGAGGUUAGUGCAAUGGCAUAAGCCAGCUUGACUGCGAGCGUGACGGCGCGAGCAGGUGCGAAAGCAGGUCAUAGUGAUCCGGUGGUUCUGAAUGGAAGGGCCAUCGCUCAACGGAUAAAAGGUACUCCGGGGAUAACAGGCUGAUACCGCCCAAGAGUUCAUAUCGACGGCGGUGUUUGGCACCUCGAUGUCGGCUCAUCACAUCCUGGGGCUGAAGUAGGUCCCAAGGGUAUGGCUGUUCGCCAUUUAAAGUGGUACGCGAGCUGGGUUUAGAACGUCGUGAGACAGUUCGGUCCCUAUCUGCCGUGGGCGCUGGAGAACUGAGGGGGGCUGCUCCUAGUACGAGAGGACCGGAGUGGACGCAUCACUGGUGUUCGGGUUGUCAUGCCAAUGGCACUGCCCGGUAGCUAAAUGCGGAAGAGAUAAGUGCUGAAAGCAUCUAAGCACGAAACUUGCCCCGAGAUGAGUUCUCCCUGAGACUUAGAGUCUCCUGAAGGAACGUUGAAGACGACGACGUUGAUAGGCCGGGUGUGUAAGCGCAGCGAUGCGUUGAGCUAACCGGUACUAAUGAACCGUGAGGCUUAACCUU
This 2902-nucleotide ribosomal RNA is filed under the name Escherichia coli. RNAcentral's name for it is "bacterial LSU rRNA". It matches the Rfam family "Bacterial large subunit ribosomal RNA". The record is from RNAcentral. Lineage: Bacteria; Pseudomonadati; Pseudomonadota; Gammaproteobacteria; Enterobacterales; Enterobacteriaceae.